Molecule: long non-coding RNA, 14462 nt
Filed under: Marmota monax (woodchuck)
Lineage: Eukaryota; Metazoa; Chordata; Mammalia; Rodentia; Sciuridae
Rfam family: Small nucleolar RNA SNORA58 (bases 5136-5272)
Source: RNAcentral
CCCACAGUGAAUCUUCAUCUACAAUUUCAUCUAACCAGAGUCAGGAGUCUGGUUAUCAGAGUGGCCCAAUUCAGUCGACAACCUAUACCUCCCAAAAUAAUGCUCAGGCCCCUCUAUAUGAGCAAAGAUCCACCCAGACUCGGCGGUACCCCAGUUCCAUCUCUUCAUCACCCCAAAAGGACCUGACUCAGGCAAAGGUAGUAGCCGCAUGAGCCCCUGGAUAGAGGUUAGAGAAACAGUGGGCAAAAGUCUCUUAAGUAUUAAAUAUUAGCAUUUUACUUCUCAGAAAGUGGUGCCAAGAAAUCUUGGAAGUGCUGAUUGAGAAGCUGCAAACACAUUUCUGUGAUUGGUAAAAUAAAAGUUUUCAGCAAUCCUGGAGACUCAGUCAGAAAACCAUUUUCUUUGCAGUAAAGAUUGUCUCUAGUAGAAUCAAAUAUCUGUCCUUUCUUGGAACAUCUAAUUGCUAGAUUUUUGGGUACAUAUCAGUAGAUCUUACUUUGCUUUUUCUUGGCUUUGUGAGAAGGACAGCAUAUGCUAGAGGUGGUAUUGAGUGACUGUCUUGUGCAGCCAGCAGGAUAAAUGGUUUGGCUGAACUGUCAUUCCCACAUCCUCCCACAAAGAUCAUUGGGUUUGGACUUUGGGCCUUUUAUGUACCUGUUUUGGGGUUGGGGUAUCUUCACCUGUUUGGGGGUUGUCUUCUGUUGCUGUUAGCCACACAGGCUUAGUAUAUCUGGUUUUUAUUGUUUUUAAUUUUUGUUUUGUUUGUUUGUGUAGUCUUGUAUUAAUCCUUUAGUUAACUAGCAGAAUUUCUCCCAAAUGUUUGUUAACUAGAAUUAAGCUGAGUUAGUAUUAAACUUCCCCCAUUCACAUGAGUUUGUCUGUUCUUGCUCCUCUGUUUUCUUGCUCCAGAAUGGCUUCAGUUCUGUGCAGGGCACGCAGUUACAGACCACGCAAUCUGUUGAAGGUGAGUAUUCUCCAGGCUUUUUAUUCUCAGUUGUUUUUUUCUUUCUCUUAAUAUUUUUGUAUUUCUUAAAAGUGAAAAGAGCUCUGGCACGAGGACUGGUUAGUCUUAAUUCUACUUUGCUGCUUAAUCUCCAGCCUUCCUAAGUUUCAGGUUCUCUGUCUUAAAAUGGUAACCAUUUUAUUGGUUCCCGUCACUGGACAAAUGAAAUUCACAUGCAAAGUGCCUAGAAUUAAAAAAGAUUAUACCAUUAUUAAAUAACUCAUACUGUUGUCUUUGGGGCAGCAUAGGACUGUAGUGAUUCUUCACGUUAGACAUUUUCUUUUCUUCUGGUGAGAUGGAUUCUUUUAUUUCUAGGUGCUACAGGCUCUGCAGUGAAAUCUGACUCACCUUCCACUUCUAGCAUCCCCCCUCUCAAUGAAACGGUAUCUGCAGCUUCCUUACUGACAACAACCAAUCAGCACUCAUCCUCCUUGGGUGGCUUGAGCCACAGUGAGGAAAUUCCAAAUACCACCACCACGCAACACAGCAGGUGAUUUGGGGUGAGGAUGGAGUUUGGGGUGAGGAUGGAGCUCUCUGGUUCUUUUUCUUUCUAACUGGCAAAGACCACAUUAGCCCCACUUUUGGGUAAAUGGGUGACCUGAAAACUGUGAGAGAUAAAGACAAAGAGACUUAUUUUAUUUUUUCCUUUCAGCAUCUACUUUUGUUUUAACUGUUGCUUACUAUCCCUGGCUGGCUCUUGUGCUUAUUACCAUUUUCUCAAGACUUUCUUGUUCCUAUGUUCUACCUUAUUUUCUUGCUUGUGUUCUUGAUUAAAGCUCCAGGCCAGGUGGCCAUAGCACUGUUGUUGAUGGCACCCUCUUUCCUUACAGCACGUUAUCUACACAGCAGAAUACCCUUUCAUCAUCAACAUCUUCUGGACGCACUUCGACAUCCACUCUUUUGGUAAGUAUGAUGCUGAAAGGAAGUGUGGUUCUUAAGCUUUUCUUAAACUAGCCAACCCUAAGAUUCUGCCAAGAGGGAAUUCUUGAUCAUUUCUUCAUGAGAUGAUAAAACUCAUUGAAUUGAGGUUGCAGAGAAACGAAUAAGGGGUUGUUGGGAAGCCAAAAGAAGCCAAAGAAUCCAGAAAUAAUGCAGAGCUAUGAAUCAUUCCUUAAAGCCUGGAAGGGACACCCUCCAUCCCCCAUUCCUGUGUUGAAGAUAAGGUAUAUGUUACAAAAGAACAUACCUUUCUAGGGGCUAGUGGUAUAGCUCAGUGGUACUGUAUGGGUUAGUGUGCAUGAAGCCCUUGGUUUAAUCCCCAGCACCAAAAAAAAGGAGAGUGGGGUGGAAAGAAAAGGACAAAUCUUGCUAACUGGUAGAGCUUGUGUUUCUCUUUCCUUAAAACACAACAUCAAGUUUAAAGUCAGCUGUAUGUUAUUCUAGCCCAUGAACUAGAGAAGAAAAGUGUGUGAGAGAAGGCUAUGAUACAUUUUUCAGAUUUCAACUUUAUUUGACAGGUCAACCAGUGUUGGUCUCCACCAACACUGGAGUUGUCACCACCCACUUUGCUGUCUUUCUUAACAGGAUGAUGGUAUAUGAGUCUGUAUUAAUAACCAUCCUUGUCACAUGAGUCUUUAGAAACAUGCAGCUAGAGAGUUUUUGUACCUUGGUAGAGGAGACUCUGUUAUUAUGCCCUGACCUUUUUAAUUGGGAAGUUGUUGUGAUGAUCAUAUUCAAGAGAAUAGAUUGUUUAUCAUUCCUAACCUAUAUUGCUAAUUGGUGCUUCCUUCAUCUCUCUUCCAUUGCUCCUCCCUUUUGAAGCACACAAGUGUGGAGAGUGAGGCGAAUCUCCAUUCUUCCUCCAGCACUUUCUCUACCACGUCCAGCACAGUCUCUGCACCUCCCCCAGUGGUCAGUGUCUCUUCCAGUCUCAACAGUGGCAGCAGUCUGGGCCUUAGCCUAGGCAGCAACUCCACUGUCACAGCCUCAACUCGAAGCUCGGUUGCUACAACUUCAGGUACCUUUGCAUUAGCUGCAUGGCAUUCCUCUAGGAUGGAGGGAAUCAAUAAUUGUGUGAUAGCAUAAAAAUGUUUUUUCUCUUUUAGGAAAAGCUCCUCCCAACCUUCCUCCUGGGGUCCCGCCAUUGUUGCCUAAUCCAUAUAUUAUGGCUCCAGGGCUGUUACAUGCCUACCCAGUAAGUAGGAUUGAAGGGUUUGUUCUAAAAGGUGGUGUUGGUGGGACUAUUCUUUAUAGUUCUGGCUUCAGGCAGUAGACUGUAAUUACAAUACAGAAAAAAAUGCCACAUAUAAACAAAUAGGUUUCUUGGGUGGGGGUGAGUAGUAGGGAUUGGACUUGGGAGCAACCAACCACUGAGCCACAUCCCCAGCCCUAUUUUUUUUUUAAUAUUUAUUUUUUAGUUGCAUUUGGACACAGUACCUUUUAUUUUAUUUAUUUAUUUUCAUGUGGUGCCAAGGAUCGAACCCCAGGGCCUCACACGUACUCACCACUGAGCCACAACCCCAGCCCUAUUUUUUAUUUUAUUUAGAGACAGGUCUCACUGAGUUGCUUAGUGCCUGGCAUUUCUGAGGCUUGCUUUGAACUUGGGAUCCUCCUAUCUCAGCCUCCUGAGCUGCUGCGAUUACAGGCAUGCGCCAUUGCACCUAGCACAAGUAGGUUUUGAAUCUUUGUAGCUUUGGAAAAAACAAUCAUUUUUAGAGAGGAAAGACUAAACUUGGGCAAGACCCUCUAUUGUGUAUUUGCUCUGUGUGAAAUAGAAAUUCUAGGCCUCAGAUGCCAAAGGCUAAAACGUUCAUCUGGAAUUCCUUUCAGUUUCUUGGAGAAUUGUUUUUUGUAGAUGAACUGAUUUCCUUACUCUGGGGAUCUUUGCUGCCUCUAACCUGGUCAGAAGAGAGUUCCCCAGCUCACUGUGGAAUUGUCUUGAGAAUAAAUGGCUGACAUUGUUGACUUUUUUUCUCAGGUAUAUCUUCUGUUACCUCCAGGUAUUCAGUACCUCUUAAGAUGGAGGGUAUGAAAAUUCUAUUAAAAGACAACUGUACUUCCCCUGAAAGUGGAAGUCUAGAUAAACAUCAUACAGACAAGAUUGUCCAAAUAACACUGUUGGACAUUGUUUAACAACACUGCUUUAUCUUGAAAUUGGGAGAAAACAAGAGUAAAAUCUGAAUCUUUCAUGGAGAAAAUAAAUUUUAAACCAGAUGUAUAGAUUAGAGAGUAAAGGCAGGAAGAUUCCAUUCAUAGAAUAGAGAGAACAGAUAGCUGUUCAUAUACUUGUGUCUAUUGUACUGCUUCCCAGAAAUGGUCUAGAUCAAUCAGUAGUAAGUAGCUCAACGAAAGUUUCAAGAUCUUUCAUUAAUCCUUUAAUCUCUACUUUUACUUUCCCUUUAAGUAAAUUGAAGGAAAUAAAUCUUUUUUUUUUUUCCUUUUGGUAGUAUUGGGGAUUGAGCCCAGGGCCUUGUUCGUGCUAAGGAAGCACUGAACUACAUCCCUAGCCCAAGGAAAUAAUCUAUGUCCUGUUCAAAGAAGGACGGUGAAUAAUGUAUUGAAUUAUCUUGCUUUUUAGCUCCUUGGGUUUUUUGUUUUUAAUCAUUUAUGACCAUUUCUCAUUAAUGUCACAUGCCUUUGUCUUUCAGCCACAAAUGUAUGGUUAUGAUGACUUGCAGAUGCUUCAGACAAGAUUUCCAUUGGUAAGUAUGUGGAAGGGAACUCUGGUAAAGGAGGUGAUCUAAAAAUUAGUUUUGUUUUUUUUUUUUGGUGCUUGGGAUCAAACCUAGGUUCUCACAUAUGCUAAAGCACAUGCUAUUACUGAGCUACACCCCCAGCCCAAGUGGACUACUACAACUAUACAUUUUCUACCAAUGUCAUAUCUUGUUUUUUAAUAUUUUGUGUCAUUAGAGAUUCAACUCAGGAGCUAGUGCACGCCAGGCAAGCACUUUACCAUUUAGGUAUACCCCACUCCCCAGAGAUGUGAAAUCUUUGAAGUAAACAGAUUUUAACCUACUCUGUAGCCUAAUAAAGUACUCAGGAGCUCUCAAGAUGCUUUCAAGAUGCUUUCUAUAUGUCUCAAACACUUAAAAUUACAGAAAAAAAAAUAUGUUUUUCAAGAUAAGUUUGGCAUAUGCUUUUAGAGAUGAUGUGUGGAGGUUGAAAAUAUUAUUGGUCCUGAUGGAACUUUAGCAGGCAUAUCCGUAGACCUUGCCUGGCUCUGCUUAUGGCCAGGCAGGGGGGACAGUAUAUGCAAGAAUAAUAUGGAGUUUAUGCAAACUCAAACCAGCUUCUUCGGUAGCUGGGUAAAUCGCAGUACUCCCGACAUUUUUGUGCUUCUCACCUGUGGUUUUCAUGCUGGAGAAUGAAUAGCAUUGAGUCUGUGCUCUUUUGUUACUCGGUUCUAGGAUUACUACAGCAUCCCGUUUCCCACGCCCACCACUCCGUUGACCGGGAGGGAUGGUAGCCUGGCCAGCAACCCUUAUUCUGGUAUGACUGGGACGGGGCCAAAUAAAGGGAGAGGGAGAUUGUAUUGGGAUGAAUGGCAAAACCCUGCUUAAUAGCAAGAAAGGACCUGGUUCUCACCUUACAUGUCUCUGGUAGAAGUUUAAAAUGGACGUGAUGAAUUGGUUGGUAGAUUCACAGUCCUGUUAAAGAUGAGCGUUUGGCAGCUUUUUUCCCUUUCCAUCUCACUUGUCUGUGAUUUCUAAAUCCUUCUCUCUCUCUCUCUCACACACACACACACACAUCUUACCUAAAAACAUUUUUUUCCCCUUUGGUUCUGGGGAUUGAACCUAGGGUCUCACAUCUAUACUAAGCCUGUGCUCCAUCUUCUGCCCCUCCAGAUGACAUUAUAACUUAGGUUUUUCAGCUUGUUCCAGAAAGUAGUGGUUGAACUGGUCUUCUCUGCUUCUGUACAUUGCUCACAGUGGCAGUCUCAUUGUCUUGCUAGACCUUCUUUUUUGGCCUGACUUUCUUGGCAUCCUCCUUGAUCAUUUUUUCUUAUCUGUCUCUGUCCCUUCAAGUGUAGCAUGGAGUGUUUCCCAUGGAAGAAAAUAGGGGCUGGGAGUGAAAGAAUACAAGAAGGUAGAGAAAUAAUGUAGGAACUUUUUCCUGGGAUCUUCUUUUUGCUAUAGCAAAUAUACUCAGCAAUAGUCUUUAACUGGCACUGUAGUCUAUACUCAACUAUAGUUUAUACUCAACAACAGUCUUAACUGGCACUAUGCUAAAUGUAUUCUGAGCAAUGCUGAAUGGAGCUUCAAAGAAAUAUAAUUUAAGGAAUUGAAUUUUAAAAGUCUUUGAACAGGAUCUCUUGGAAUCAUGUGAAACCAAGAGGUGACUUGUGUUGCAGUGAAAGAAACGGGUACAUUUAGCUUCUUCUGUCACAGGUGACCUCACAAAGUUCGGUCGUGGGGAUGCCUCCUCCCCAGCCCCGGCCACAACCUUGGCCCAACCCCAACAGAACCAGACGCAGACUCACCACACCACGCAGCAGACAUUCCUGAACCCGGCGCUGCCUCCUGGCUACAGUUACACCAGCCUGCCAUACUACACAGGGGUCCCGGGCCUCCCCAGCACCUUCCAGUAUGGGCCUGCUGUGUUCCCUGUGAGUGCCUAGCCUUGGUCUCCUUGUGGUGAAGGCUUCUAUCCCUGACACUAUCCUAGCUGUGCUUUCAAAGCUAGAUGAGUCUAGUAAUGAAUGAGGGAGGAACAGUUUCCACAUUGGGCUUUCUUCUGGCCUGGGAAGGGGGAGUGGGAUUGGAAUUGGUUGAAUUAUAAUAGGGAUUAACUUUUUCUAGAAUUAGCCAGAGGGGAAUGUGAUACCAUACAGCUUUGCUUUCCUCAGAUGGCCAUGUAUUCCCUGAUAGCACUCCCCCUUUUCCUUCCUUCAAAUUGUCUCUUGAUUUCAAAGGUAGAUUAUGGAAAUAUUAGUAAGGAUCUUAUUUCACUAUUCAAAUUAUGGCCAGCCUAAAUCAGGAUUCAUAGCCACCUGAACACCUGGGCCCUGGAGUAGGACAGGUGAAACUGAUGGUGCAUGCUGCCAUUUCACUGCAGUUCUGGCCCUUUUGCUCUUCAGGUGGCUCCUACCUCUUCCAAGCAGCAUGGUGUGAAUGUCAGUGUGAAUGCAUCAGCCACCCCUUUCCAACAGCCGAGUGGAUAUGGAUCUCAUGGAUACAAUACUGGUAAGCUCCCCGUGGCCCUGGUUCAGUGUCUCUGUGAGGUGUUACUGGGUUGGUGAGGGUGUUCUGCUCUCUACAUAUGAUUAUUGAUGCUUGGCUGAAUUGGAUAUCUGGGAGCAUCAUCAGCAGAGGCUCUUGACUCUAGGAAAUGCUGUUACUACACAUGAUUAGAAUGCUCAGGGGCAUUUUUGGCCGCUAAAAUAUGUUGUCUGGCCUAAACUUUGGGUUAAAAGGAGGACAGGGCCCUAAGAUUUUGCUGAGAUAUCAGUGGAGGCAAGUGUUGUGGCACUGUAUAAAAGAGGAUAUAUUCACUGAAAAGAAAGGAUAAAUGCUUUCAUAGCUAACAAUAUGAUUAAUAGGCUUGGCUUAAGUCUUUUUGUAGUACUAUUAUUAUUACUAUUCCCCUUUCAUUCCUAACUAGAAGACCUAAGAUAUGGAGAGAGAGGAUAGGCAUGACCACGCAGUAGAGACAGAAUUAGACUGGGAGGUUCCUUCGUUUGUAUGACUGGUCUUCUUAAAAAGCCUAUUUGCAUAUCUGAUGGCAGGGAGAGAAUUGUAGGAAUCCUCUGGAUAAGUAAUGACCUAAAAGAUACUUAGCUUAUCACUUAUUUCCAUAUCUGACAUCCAUGCUCCACUUUUGAAGGUGGAAGUGGAGGAGACAUUGAAUAAAACCGUUUCAUCUACAUUUUUCAGUGACUUACAGGCAUAUAUGAGGAGGAGCCUAUUGUAGUUGCUAGGGGUUGGGGUUGAGGAUUGUCUUUUCAAAGCUCAGUUAGUUUCAAGGUGAUUUGGAUGGAGCAACAUCUGUGUGGGCUCCAGAUGAGUAAAUUGCUCAACAUUUUAUUUAUUUAUUUUUUGGUACUGAGGAUUGAACCCAGAGACAUUUUACCACUGAGCUAUAUCCCCAGUCCUUUUUAUUUUUUGAGAUAGGGUCUCACUAAGUUGCUGAGACUGGCCUCAAACUUAGAAGCCUCCUGCUUCAGCCUCCUAAAUUGCUAGGAUUAGAGACAUGCAUCAAUGCACCCAGCUCAAAAUUUUCAGUAAUUGGGAAACUGUCUUAAGCUGAGCACAGAAGGUAAUAAAGACUAGUUUUAGGAAUUAAUAGCCAGGUGGAGCUUUGGACUGUGCCUUAUGACUUAAGAGUGGGUCAUAAUAAAUUUUAAAAAUCCUGAGAAAAGCCCCAUUAAGAUUUACUACCCAGGUUCUUUGGGGCCACUGCUGUCACUGAGUAAGGUCUUGUUGAUGAUGGGAGGAUUAUAAGCCUUUUGACUUGGCCCCAUUCCAGGAACAUUAAAAUUAAACUUCAGCUGGUCCAGGUAUGAGAAUUUUCAGAGGUAAGGUAGGUGGUUGAUAAUGUAAGACAGUUGGCAUAUCUGAUUCUGGAAAUCCUAGCUUCUUACCUCCCUUAAUAUUUCAGAAACCUGUUAGUUCUUUGAGAACCCCCAAUUCCCAACCCCACAGAGGGCUCUUGUCAUUCCAUUCCUCAUCAACCUCUAAAUUCAUGUAUUUUUAUGUAUUUGAUUCCUUUUAGGAAGAAAAUAUCCACCCCCUUACAAGCAUUUCUGGACGGCUGAGAGCUAAUUUGGCCCAAGGCUGGGGGCUGUGUUUUGUGUGUGUGUAUAAAUUUGCACUGAAGUCUUGUUUCAGAAACCAGACCACUGAGGAGAGCCUGCUGAGCUGAGGCCAUGGCCUGCGUGGCUUGGGGAAAUGAGUUGGUGGAUAUCUUCUGGGCUUUUGAACUUGCCCCCUCCCCAUUUCCCUCUCCCCCUUGUGUCUGACCCUGUCUUACCCAUUUCGAGUUCAAGCGGUGCAGCACCUCCGAAGCAUCAAUGCACACACCUGCUGUUGCUUUUGAUUUCUGGAAGGCAUGUAGUUUCAACUUGUAACAAAAAUAUUUGUAGUCUUCAAUAAACUGUGGUAUUUCUUUAGCUAACUCUGGCGUUCUUUCCGUGCAUGUCUUUCUGGACACUAGGAACCAGUGUUGUAUUGUGGAUGAAGGGUGGAGGGUGGCCUUUUAAUUCAGACCCCAGCAUAGGCAAAGAGCUGUUAACUUUUCUGUAUGGUUGUUUUUAAGGUGGGAGGAGGGGAAACAACCUCAGUUUUCCAGCCUGUUGAUUGGUUGGUGAAGGAGGCUACUUAUAAAAUACCUGAUUCCCAUGCUUAUAUCUCUUCACUUUUCCAUUUGGAUCUUCCCUUUUUGCUUCUGACAUAAGCAGAGGAGAAAGGACAAAAAGGUUUAUGGAGAGAAAAGCAAAAAGAGAUGGUGUUCUAGGCUGUCGAUAGGGAAGCAUUUUCCAAGAUUUAAUUCCCACAUCUGUUUCCCAAAGACCGACUGGCUGAUUGAGAUCUGAUAAAUCAUUAGUGAUCAGCUAGUUGAUGACUCAGGUUCUGUGGAAACUGUGCUAGCCUGGAACAUUGUUCUUAUCCUUUGAUGGUUUCUCAGAGAUUGUGGAUUAUUAGUCAUUUUGCACUUGUAGGUGUAGCAGAGGAUGUGUGGGAGAGAUUUGAUUAGACAUCCUAAGUAUGGAAAUUCUAAUCACUACUCGGUCCACCAUCUACUAGUACACCAUCAGCCCUUUGGUUUAUAGAGUUAACUUAGAUGACCAUCUUUGGUUAAUUGAAAACCAAAGUGUUCAGCUUUCGUUGUAUUUGUUUCCAGCCCUCUAGAGUCAUUUUGCUCUGUGGAGGGUGAUCAGCUUUCCCAGGGCCUGUCAUAUUAGGAAAGAAUGGUUCUUGCUUCUCCUCCCUACCAUGCACAUUCUGUUGGAAUGAUUGUCACUGUUUGGGAGUGGGUAUAGGCACGACAUAAUAUAGGAAAGAAAAAGGGAAACCUUUAUCUAGGCUGAGCAUAAUUGUAGUAUAGGGUCGGGAAAUCAAUACCCAUUAUUUUCCUAGGUUUUCUAAUGGUUACCUUGAGGCUAUUAUGGUGACUACACAGUAUUCUUGGAGGCGGGGGUCUGCGUUUUCUAGUUCCUUAACCUCAUAUCCAAUUUAAGACCUCUGGACUAGAAGCUGUAUUUUAGCUAUUCCAGUCUCUGCACAGAAUAAGACCAGGUAGGGGUAUAGUACAAUUAAAUUUCUUCUUACCAGCCAGAUUAAGAAUCUAAUUAGUCAAUUUUUCCCUUCCUCCGGAGCAAUCUAGCCUUGAUUUGCAGAGGGUAAUCCUUUGCAGUAAAGAAAAAUCAGUGUUGGGGUUUGUCUUUAAAAUGUUCUGUUUAUUCCACCUUCAGUCUCAAUCCUUCCCCACAGCCCUUAUUUUUUAGCCAUUUCUGUUCUUGAACUCCCUGUUCUUAAAAUUUGCUACCCUGUUUUUCUCUAGAUGAACAUCUGAAGUUUGGAAAGGGAAGGGGAAAAAUACCCCGUUAGCUCCUUAAGAGGUUCCUGUCUUGUUCCCGUCUACUUCAGUACCUUCAGAGUGUAGAGUUGAUACUUUGGAGAUGGGGAAGUAUUUUCUCUUGCUUGGUUUCUGUAGUUCUGUUCUUUUUCCUAGUUGGUGUUUGCUCCUCCCUGGAACUAUCUGGACUUAUGAUGUGGGAGGGUUUUCCAGGUUAAGAUGCCUCUUCUGUUGGGAAGAUUCUAAAGUGACUGUCCAAGGUGGGCUUAAUUUCUGAAGGCUGGCUUUGUCAUAGGCAUUGGUUGGGAGGAUUUGGGUUCUGGAGUUUGAAGGGGGACUGCUGUUGAAUUGUGGGUAAAUGGAGAAUUCCUUAUUUGUGAUUUGUUCACUUAACACAGCGUUUUUAAAAAAAAUUUUCAUUGGGGUGUUUGUAACAGCAGAGGACAAGGAAAAAGAUCCUAGGCAUAGACAGAAACCCAAAGUUAUUCUGGUUUCAUUUUGUCUUCAUGGGACCUAAUGUGUUUUUAAAAUCAUGCUGUAAAUUCCUAGCUGUUUUGUUUCUCAAAUCUUUAAAAUUUCUUUUGAAAUGCUUAAUCUAGCAUUUAUCCCAUGGCCUUUUCUGUCUCGUUAAUCCAUUGCCAAACCCCAGGAAGAAGAGUGUAGUAUAUAUUUCAGCUUGAGGAAAACAAAAUGAGUGGUUAUACUGCUAUGGUUUCCUUAAAACUGUAGUAGUUAUAGGAAGAAGUUUGUCAACUGGAAACAUGCAAGUAGUGGUGUGGGUUAGGGCUUUUCAUGGAAACAACUAAAAAAACAACCAAUGUAUUUAGUUUCUGUAUCCCACAUAAGCUUUAGGAAAUAGCCCACUCUUACCUACACACUUUCCCUCCUUGCCUCUGUACUAGAAGUGAGUAAAUGGAAACUCACCUUUAUGCCAGCACUUUAAUUAAUAAAAAGCUGAAAAACUCCUAAGACUGGAGAACUGGACUAGGUGAGCCAAGGCUCCAGGAAUAAAAAUGCUCUUGGGGACUGAAUUGAGCUGUUCCUCCAGUACUUACCGUAUGUAGUAAAGGUAUGGAUUCUGAGCCCAAAAGUUGUCUCUUCAGGGACUAUCUAAAUCUUCAGGGGCAGGACAUGUAGGGUUUGGGUAGAUUGAUUUGAAGUGGACACUACAUUUUUAUUACAUUCUUUUUGGCUUUGGCACAGAAGUGUUUUGAAAUCAUAUAGGCUGAUGAGGUUUGGUCAUAUUCCCUUGCUUACCCCAAAAACAGCUCACCUCAGUCUCGUACCUAUACUCCAGAUCUAUCUGGAAAAGGAAAACGAACCCUUAGGGAGCCUGUGUGUCAUGAACUCUUAUGAUCUCAGGACUGACCUGAAGGUGGGAAAACAGACCAAAAUUCCCUUUCAGUGCUAUAGCUAGCAAGGCUGCAGACGUCACUUGACCCCAGGAACAGGGCCAGCAGCUAGCUGAGCUAACCUCCUGUCUGUUUCCUCCUCCCUCAGGCGUAUCAGUCACCUCCAGCAACACGGGCGUGCCAGAUAUCUCUGGAUCUGUGUACUCCAAAACCCAGGUAGGUGCCCGGCUCUGGACAGAAGUAGAAAAAGAGAGAGACAGAGAUGUGGUGGCUGAGGAUCGAACCCAGUGCCUCACAUGUGCGAGGCAGGUGCUCUUCCAUUCAGCCCCAGCCCCCACACUACCUUUUUUAAAUGGUCUCUAGAUUUCAGUUUUUCUAGGAGUUUGAAUUUAGCUCUCUGAGAAGAAACCACAAAGAUGAAUAGGAAGCCAGGUGUGCUAAAAGGCCUGUAAUCCCAGUGACUCAGAGCCUGAGGUAGAAGGAUUGAGAGUUCAAAGCCAGCCUCAGCAACUUAGCAACUGAGUGAGACCCUGUCUCUAAAUAAAAUACAGAAAAGGGCUGGGGAUGUGGCUCAGUGGUUAAUUGCCCCUUAGUUCAAUCCCAGGUACCAAAAAAAAAAAAAAAAGAAAUAGGAAGGUGAGGUGUGGUACAUUGUUAUAAUGUGAUGUGGGUUAUUGUGCAGUUGUCCUGGCUUUUUUGCCCAGGGGCAGGGAUGCCAAGGAUAGUUAGCAAAUUUUCCUGUUUAUGUACAACGCUAGUUAAUUUCACAUUCAUCCUUCUGUUUGAUCCCUACAACAGAGAGGUCAGUAGCAUCCCUGUUUCAAGUAUGAGGCAACUAAGGCUGAGAGAUUGGUAUUUUCCCAGGAUUGGGUAGCUGUUAAAAGGGCAAGAGUUGGGACUGAGACUUUUAUAUCUGACUCGAGAUAUUCUGUUCCUUCUGACUAUGCUGUUUUCUGAGGGUGGGGGAGCUUUGGCUCAGAAAUUCCCAGGAUUCCUUUGCUGAUACCUUUUAUUCUUUCUCCUUCUUUCUUCCUGGACAGCAGUCCUUUGAGAAACAAGGUUUUCAUUCCGGUACUCCUGCUGCCUCCUUCAACUUGCCUUCAGCCCUAGGAAGUGGGGGGCCCAUCAAUCCGGCCACAGCUGCUGCUUACCCACCUGCCCCCUUUAUGCACAUUCUGACCCCACAUCAGCAGCCGCACUCCCAGAUCCUUCACCAUCACCUGCAGCAGGAUGGCCAGGUAAUAGCCCUUCUCCCUCUCUCCUUUCCCUUCCUCUUCCUUCCUGUCCCUUUAAACUGCCUCCCCUUUCCUUUUCUUACCCUUCCUCACCACCACCUUCACCCAAUCCUCCCCAGCGCCAGCCAGGGGCACACAGCACAUACAGACACAAGCGCACAUAACACAAGCGGCCGGCAAAAGAAAUGUCAGAGAAGGGGCAAGAUCAAAACCCUUUUUGCCCAUUUCCUUUGGUGUCUUUUUUUCCUCCACCUCCUCCCAUGGCACAGUUGUCCUCAUCCCAUCAGACCUGGGUCACACCUUCCCUUUUACCUCUCCCAGCCUUUCCCCUUUCCUGACAUUAUAGCUUUCCCUUCUAAUGGUGGAGUUCUAUUGUCAAAGUUUGUCCCUUUAUUUUCCAUAUAUCCUGGUUCUGCCUCAGCUACCAUAUUUGCAGAUGAUUCUCUGUUGCCAGCGCCAGCAGGAGGAGCAGGUAAUGAAACUGAAUGAUGAUAUGCUUGAACCCACUCCUUUUCAGACCCCAUUUCACCUCCAAAGCCUCAGGGAACUUGAAAAGAUUGCGCGGUCACACAUCGGGAUACACAAACACAAAACACCUUGCUGAGCUCUCUGGCCUCCCUAUCCUCUGUUCUCCUUCCCUCCUCAAUACCCUCUUGAUCUUUCUGUCCUUCCCCAACUCUGGAAAAACACUUGGUUACCAGAAUGAAAAAGAUUGGUGGGGCAGAAUCUGGAGCCUGAGGCUUCAGACUGUCUCUCCUUUCUUGCCUGAAACAGGCUCAUAGAUGUGAUGUGUGGUGGUGGAGAGAUCCACGGGGUGGUACAAGAGACCUCUUGAGAGCUCCAUCAUAGGUGGCUGGAGACCUAGAAUUAAGGGGUUCCCUGCUCUCAGCUUUUCAAGUUGAGGCAUUUAUGGGACUUAAUGAAAAUGGAAUUACCUUGUGGUCACUCAUCUCCCAGAACCAUAAUUCUCAUAGUACCCUUUUUUUUUUUCCAGACCCAGGUCAGGGGUAGUGAGAGAAGGUAGAAUUCAAAAUGAGUAGAACUGAGUUAUUAUCUCUAAGGUAUCUUGUCCUCUUUUCACCUUUCCCCUAUUUAAAGGUCAAAAAUGCUUUCUUGCAUGGAAGAGAGGGGGCUGUAUUAGCUAUGGAGACCAAAUUUCUAUGGUUGAAAAGUAAAUGUCAAUAGAAUCUGAGCAAGGGGAACAGGAGAGUAAGGCAGUUUGCACAUCUCCACCUGGACAUGGUACAGAUUUGUCCCACUAACUAGACACCUUUUUCCUCCCCAUCAUCCUCCCAUUCCCCUGCAGACGGGCAGCGGGCAACGUAGCCAGACCAGCUCCAUCCCGCAGAAGCCCCAGACCAACAAGUCUGCCUACAACAGCUACAGCUGGGGGGCCAACUGAGGCCCUGACCCUCCUCU